GAUGAACGCUAGCGGCAGGCUUAACACAUGCAAGUCGAGGGGCGGCGCGGGAUAGCAAUAUCCUGGCGGCGACCGGCGGAAGGGUGCGUAACGCGUGAGCGACAUGCCCGUUGCCCGGGGACAACCGGUGGAAACGCCGACUAAUCCCCGAUGGGAUAUUGUGCCGCAUGGCACGAUAUUGAAAGUUACGGCGGCGACGGAUUGGCUCGCGUCCGAUUAGCUGGUUGGCGGGGUAACGGCCCACCAAGGCUGCGUUCGGUAGGGGUUCUGAGAGGAAGGCCCCCCACAAUGGGACUGAGACACGGCCCAUACUCCUACGGGAGGCGGCAGUGAGGAAUAUUGGUGAAGGGGCGGAAGCCUGAACCAGCCAUGCCGCGUGCGGGAAGGAGGCCCUAUGGGCUGUGAACCGCUUUUGCCUGGGGGCAAUAAGGGCGUCGCGCACGUCCGAUGAGAGUACCAGGCGAAUAAGCAUCGGCUAACUCCGUG
Molecule: ribosomal RNA, 486 nt
Filed under: uncultured bacterium
Lineage: Bacteria
Description: partial 16S ribosomal RNA
Rfam family: Bacterial small subunit ribosomal RNA
Source: RNAcentral